This 343-nucleotide unclassified non-coding RNA is filed under the name soil metagenome. Its description in RNAcentral is "partial contains 5.8S ribosomal RNA, internal transcribed spacer 2, and large subunit ribosomal RNA". The stretch from base 1 to 120 matches the Rfam family "5.8S ribosomal RNA", at positions 35 to 154 of the family's 154-position model. The record is from RNAcentral.
GAUGAAGAACGUAGCGAAAUGCGAUAAGUAAUGUGAAUUGCAGAAUUCAGUGAAUCAUCGAAUCUUUGAACGCACAUUGCGCCCGCCAGCAUUCUGGCGGGCAUGCCUGUUCGAGCGUCAUUUCAACCCUCGACUUCCCUUUGGGGAAAUCGGCGUUGGGGACCGGCUGUAUACCGCCGGCCCCGAAAUGAAGUGGCGGCCCGUCCGCGGCGACCUCUGCGUAGUAAUCCAACUCGCACCGGAACCCCGACGUGGCCACGACGUAAAACCCCCGACUUCUGAACGUUGACCUCGGAUCAGGUAGGAAUACCCGCUGAACUUAAGCAUAUCAAUAAGCGGAGGA